Molecule: long non-coding RNA, 886 nt
Organism: Pieris napi
Lineage: Eukaryota; Metazoa; Arthropoda; Insecta; Lepidoptera; Pieridae
Exons: 3
Source: RefSeq, a predicted model, not a curated record
UAUAAUAAUUUAAACUAGAGUUAAUAUUUUUAAGUUAAGAGUUUUAGUUUUUCUAUGAAUCAAUGCGAGGAUAACAUAAUAUACACAGAUAAAUAUGAAAAUAUCAAGAAAAUCAGCAAAUUAGUAGAGAUGAGAAAGCAGUCACUAAUGAACCUAAUUAGAAGUUGUAAAUAUAUUUUAUUGUAAUUAUAAUAGAAGCUAAUGAUAUAAUAUUGAUUUAAAUUAAUCAAUUAAAGUGGAUUUAUACUUCAUGAACUUUGGAUAUAUAAAAUCUAAAGAGCAAUACUAAGUAAUGAAAAAGAGAAGCUAUGGAGUAUGAAAUAAUGGUUGGUUAAGUAACAUUACCUGAAGAACAGGAAACAGUAACUGAAACUAUGUUCUUCCACAUUUAAUCUUAAUAAGUUCAGCAGUUUGAAUGUUAAUGAGAUAUUAUUAUAAACAAACUGCAUUUGUAGAUUUUGGAAAGAAUUAUAUCUUUACAAUAACUAUUAUUAUUUACAAUUGUUGUGUUAAGGAAACAAUCACUAUUAUUUUAAUCGCCCAAGAUGUAUUCAUAGUAAUUGUAGGUAUCAUAGUAAUUUUAUGAAAUCAUCACAACAUCUAACGUUAGGUUUUAUGAAUUGAACAAUUUUUUGUUUAUAACAGCACACAACCAAGAUAUUGACAUUGCUGCAAAUUAACACUUGCAUUUAUUAGUUAAUUAUCUACAUAUAUAUGAAUACAUCUAUAUUUAGGUAGUAAUGCAUUGAAUUUGGUGCACCUGUGUGUGUUCAGUAGUAAUGUCUGUAUUGUUUAAUAAGUUGUUACAUAUGCUUAUUUUUCUAUGUAGACUGCAUUAUGUUAAGGAAGAUAUUUGGUGCCUUAUUUUAAUAAAAAAUAACCAUAA